AGAGUUUGAUCAUGGCUCAUGAUGAACGCUGGCGGCGUGCCUAAUACAUGCAAGUCGAACGAGGCCCUUCGUAUUCGUAUGAAGGUGUCCUAGUGGCGAACGGGUGAGUAACACGUAGGUAACCUACCCCGAAGAGGGGGAUAACCUCGGGAAACUGAGGCUAAUACCCCAUGUGCUCCACGGUAUUAGAUGACCAUGGAGUAAAGGAGUAAUCCGCUUUGGGAGGGGCCUGCGGCCCAUCAGCUAGUUGGUAGGGUAAUGGCCUACCAAGGCUAUGACGGGUAGGGGGCCUGAGAGGGUGGUCCCCCACACUGACACUGAAACACGGGUCAGACACCUACGGGUGGCAGCAGUAGGGAAUAUUGCACAAUGGGCGAAAGCCUGAUGCAGCAACGCCGCGUGCGCGAUGAAGGCCUUCGGGUUGUAAAGCGCUUUUCUGGGGGAAGAGAAAGGACGGUACCCCAGGAAUAAGUCUCGGCUAACUACGUGCCAGCAGCCGCGGUAAAACGUAGGAGGCAAGCGUUAUCCGGAUUUACUGGGCGUAAAGCGUGUGUAGGCGGUAUGGUAAGUCGGACGUGAAAGCUCCUGGCUCAACUAGGAGAGGCCGUUCGAAACUUCCAAACUUGAGGGCAGUAGAGGGAGGUGGAAUUUCAGGUGUAGCGGUGAAAUGCGUAGAUAUCUGAAGGAACACCAGUGGCGAAGGCGGCCUCCUGGACUGUCCCUGACGCUCAGACACGAAAGCUAGGGGAGCAAACGGGAUUAGACACCCCGGUAGUCCUAGCUGUAAACGAUGCAGACUUGGUGUUGGGAGUGUAAAAACUCUCAGUGCCGGAGCUAACGCGUUAAGUCUGCCGCAUGGGGACUACGACCGCAAGGUUCAAACUCAAA
Molecule: ribosomal RNA, 888 nt
Filed under: uncultured Chloroflexota bacterium
Lineage: Bacteria; Bacillati; Chloroflexota
Description: bacterial SSU rRNA
Rfam family: Bacterial small subunit ribosomal RNA
Source: RNAcentral